ACUCGUAGAAACCAAGCCCAUGCACAAGUAGAAAGUGCUCGUGGAGCCGGCCGGGGGCCCCCGCCGCGCCGCCCUCCCCGCGGCGCCGUAAAUAGACUCUUCACUCUGCUCUGUAUGUUACAGUAUGUACAGGCCCCUCCCCUCGGGGGCGGGGCGGCCCGGGACGGGGACGCGCGCCGGCAUGCGGAGUCGGGCGGGGGCGCGCGGCGGGGGCGGGACCGAGGCGGAUACAUUCAGAGACGCGUCCAACAAAUAAAUAAGGCAAGUCGGGAGGGGGCCGGGGCGGGUGCAGGCAGCGGGGAAACGUGGAGCAGGGGCAGGCGGGGCUCCGGAGGUCGCGGCUGAAGAUGCGGGGAGGUGGGGCGCGGGCCCGGCGGGGGGGGGGGGGGAUGCCGAGAGACGGGGCGCGCCCCAGCGGGGCGGGGCGGGGGGGCCCCGGGAGGGUUCCGGCCGCCGCUUAGCGGGACGGCGGCCGACGGGGGCUCCCCUCCCGCCGAGGGCCCGGCCUCGGUUAAGACUGCCAGGAGCGGCCCCCGGGGCGGUGAGGAAGGCGGCGCGGCGGUCAGGUGGCCAGUCCGGGCUGGGGGAGCCCUUCCAGCUCCUGGUUCUGCUUCAGUUCCCUCAUCCUG
This 629-nucleotide long non-coding RNA is filed under the name Lynx pardinus (Iberian lynx). Lineage: Eukaryota; Metazoa; Chordata; Mammalia; Carnivora; Felidae. The record is from RNAcentral.